CCCGGCCACAAGGCGGUAGGAGCUAUGGUGGUUAAGUUCGUAAGACAACGACGAAGAACCUUACCAGGCCUUGACAUGCAGAGAACUUCAGAGAUGGAUUGGUGCCUUCGGGACUCUGACACAGGUGCUGCAUGGCUGUCGUCAGCUCGUGUCGUGAGAUGUUGGGUUAAGUCCCGGUAACGAGCGCAACCCUUGUCUUAGUUACCAGCACGUUAUGGUGGGCACUCUAAGGAGACUGCCGGUGACAAACCGGAGGAAGGUGGGGAUGACGUCAAGUCAUCAUGGGCCCUUACGGCCUGGGCUACACACGUGCUACAAUGGUCGGUACAAAGGGUUGCCAAGCCGCGAGGUGGAGCUAAUCCCAUAAAACCGAUCGUAGUCCGGAUCGCAGUCUGCAACUCGACUGCGUGAAGUCGGAAUCGCUAGUAAUCGUGAAUCAGAAUGUCACGGUGAAUACGUUCCCGGGCCUU
RNAcentral lists this ribosomal RNA (470 nucleotides) under uncultured Pseudomonas sp. Its description in RNAcentral is "bacterial SSU rRNA". It matches the Rfam family "Bacterial small subunit ribosomal RNA", at positions 920 to 1382 of the family's 1533-position model. Lineage: Bacteria; Pseudomonadati; Pseudomonadota; Gammaproteobacteria; Pseudomonadales; Pseudomonadaceae. The record is from RNAcentral.